This 2961-nucleotide long non-coding RNA is filed under the name Gallus gallus (chicken). The record is from RNAcentral. Lineage: Eukaryota; Metazoa; Chordata; Aves; Galliformes; Phasianidae.
GUCACUUAGAUGUAGGAGCCCUACAUUUAAAAAUGUCGUCAGCUACGAGCUCUAGUCAAGAAACCCAUUUGUGACCUUUCCAAAGAAAAAGGGAGUUCUACAUUUUUGGGUCCAACAGUCACUGCCGAAUCGUUUCAGUUCAACCCACCACAUCUGCUCACACUCCCGUGCGCACAGAUGGAAGCGAAGGGCCACCUCUGCCUGGUUCAGCAGCACAGAGGGAAACCUCUGAGGACCCCCUGAAUGCAGUACCUGCACAGCGCGGGCACGCUCGGUCCCUCCACGUUGCUCUCAGCCCAGCAUGUUAGGCAGCAGCACGUUAGGCAGCGCUCUGGCCGGCGGCUGGGUAACAAGAUCAGGGGAAUUGCAUAUUCCGCUGCAGGCAGCACAAGAGCUGCCCCUGGAGGGGCUGCCAGGAAGCCUCUCUGCAAGGGCUCAGUUCAGCCCCACAAGCCAGUUUUGUGGCAAUAACAAAAGUAAAACAAUGAGGUAUGGAAAGAAGGGCCCAGCAUUGGGGAAGAGACCAAGAAAGAAGAAAACAGCUCGAGCACUGCCAGAAAUAGCGAACAACCGAAACCUUUAUCUCCUCCCUCUAUUUUUUUUUUCCUUUUUCCUUUUUCCCUUUUUCUUUUUUUCUUUUUUUUCUUUUUUUUCUUUUUUUUUGCCAAGGUGAAGUACGUCUGUCCUUUUGUUGGUUGGUUUUGGCAAAGUGAAGCCCUCGGCCGCAGUCUCUUUCCUGGCUGUCCUGCUGAGUUACCGCCACAAGUGCUGUGCGGCAAUGGAAGCCCCCGAAAGGAAGAGGAGGAAGGCAGAAGGCAAAGAUCUGCUGCUGGCCCCAGUGACGCCGUGUCCGGACUGCUUUGGGAUAGCGUGCGUUUCUGGCUGUCUGGUGCUGGGGUUCUUAGAAAGUCUUUUGCCACAGACGUCGUCAGGACAGCUGUCGCCGCUGCCUGAGCCGCUCAUGUCGUCACUCGCAUCUUGGAAAUCCACAUCAUUCCCGAUGUUGGCAUUGCCCAGCCUGUUUGUCAUGAUCUUCAGCUGCAUGAUUUGCUGGCGAAUGGUCAUAUCUGGCUUGGUGAUGUCCACCUCCACCUCUGGGUUGUUAAUCUGAUUAGCUAAGCCAUCCCCCAUCACUUCAGGCAGGUAACUGCCCUUGGUCAUCCCAUUCCAACACUUGUCGUCCGCUGCAGAGCUGGCCAUUACUUUUUUGCUGCACAGGACUCCGGGCAGGGUGACCCAGUAAGACUUGAGAGCUGUCAGAUUCCCUUUGGCAUCCAAAACCAGCAUCUCCAGUGCCACUGCAGAGGAUUUGGGUUCUAGCGUGACCUUCCCCCGCCUCUUCUUAUCCUCACUGCUGGAGCCUUUCGUGCUGAUUUUGGGAUUUCCACAGCCUUGGAAAACCUUGGCUGUGAUUGAAUCUUUGUUUUCUUGCAAGUUAGAAAUAGCUUCAGAGAUCCUCAUGUGAAUAGUCCCUAUUACUGUGUCCACAUUGUAUGGUCCGUCAAUCCGAUCAGCCACAGCGACCAGGGCAUCCAUCAGGUACUUCCACUCGGUGUUCAGGUCGGCUUGGUUGGCCAGGCAGCCCUUCACCACGUUCAGGCAGUAGUUGCUGCACGGCUUCACGCUGGCCAUGCCCCGGCAGUGCGGGCAGUACAUCAGCUUCAUGACAGCACGGGUGCACUCGUGGCUGAGGGACACCUGAGAAACCUUUUUGACCACGUCGCUGCCCACGAGGAAGCCCUGUGCGUAGGAGCGUGCCACGAUGAAGGCUCGUGUUGCCUUCAGCUUCAGGUCCCUGGGAACUUCCCCGAAGGGCUUGUGCUGCUCUGCGUGUUUCACCAUGCAGUCCAGGUACUCGUCAGUGAUGUGGUACUGGGCAUUCAUCAGCUUGAAGAGUCGCUCCAGCAAGCGUGUCCAGAAUUCAUUCAGGGCCUCUUCCAAGUUGAUGUUGGAGCCCCUGUAAUAGCGGCGUAGCUCGCUGUACAAGUCCUUGAAGACUUUCAUGUUUUGAGUGUACAAUUCUCCAUACAGGCUUGGAAAAGUAUCAUAAAGGGCUUUUUCUGACUUGUUCAACAAAUCCUGGAAAUAAUUGUCAAAGCUUCUGUACUGCGCUGUUAGGAUCGUCUGCACGGAGCGGCCCGCCUCUUUCAUCAUGGCUUCGAAUUCACUUCUGCUUUUGUUUGCAAAGUUCUCCUCCAUCUCACUGGUGCAGCAGGUGUAGCCUUGCGGACAGAUUCGCAGGUGCUCCCCGGAGAUCUCGGCCUGGGGCACGCCGUUGAGGCUGAAGCCCUUGGCCCCAUACAGCUGCCGGACCUCGGCGCAGCUCCUCGCCUUGCUGCCGCUGUCACCGCGAGCCGGGGCGGAGGCGACACACAGCAGCCAAAAUCCCCACGGGAAGAAACGCAUCCUUCUCCGCUGGCCCCGCCACCUGCCGCGCGAAGGGCAAAGCCAAGGGCCCGCGGACGGGGCUCCGGCGCCGGGCGGAGCGGGGUCCGGGCAGCCCCGGCGGGACGGCCGGCGGCGGGGGGGCGACGGGCUCUCGGGCGCUGCCCGCGGCGCGCGGGGAAGCGGCGGGCGGCUCGAUCCGGACGCCGCGGAGAGUCCGAGGAGGGGGGCAGCGAUCCAAGUUUGGCCGGGCCGGGCCCCUUCCCCGCCGCGCUUCGAAACCCCGAAGCGUGACCGCGGAGAGGGCUUUUGUUCUUAGCGCGGCCGCAUCCCCGGGCGGUCCCGCCGCGAUGCUGCCGGCUGCGGCGGCCGCCGGGCCGGGCGGAGCGGGGCGCGCGGCGGGGCUGCUCCCGCGGCUGAGCCGGGCUGCGCUGGGCCGAGCCGGGCUGCGCCGCGCCGCUCCGUGCGCGCCGGCACCGCUCCACCUGCACGCCGAGCCGGGCGGCGGGCGGGGAGGCUCCCGAGCGAGGCAGGGCUUCCCCCGCCGGACGUGGCAUCACGCCGGGCCGCGCCAAU